RNAcentral lists this ribosomal RNA (377 nucleotides) under uncultured Bacillota bacterium. RNAcentral describes it as "bacterial SSU rRNA". It matches the Rfam family "Bacterial small subunit ribosomal RNA", at positions 541 to 917 of the family's 1533-position model. The record is from RNAcentral. Lineage: Bacteria; Bacillati; Bacillota.
GAAGUCGGAUUACUGGGUGUAAGGGCGUGUAGGCGGGGAUGCAAGUUACUGGUAAAAACCCGAGGCUCAACCACGGGCUUGCCGGUAAAACUGUAUCUCUUGAGUGUAGGAGAGGGAAGUGGAAUUCCCGGAGUAGCGGUGAAAUGCGUAGAUACCGGGAGGAACACCAGUGGCGAAGGCGGCUUCCUGGCCUACUACUGACGCUGAGGCGCGAAAGCUAGGGGAGCGAACGGGAUUAGAUACCCCGGUAGUCCUAGCCGUAAACGAUGGUCACUAGGUGUGGGUGGUGGUCAAGCCAUCCGUGCCGGAGCUAACGCAAUAAGUGACCCACCUGGGGAGUACGGCCGCAAGGUUGAAACUCAAAUGAAAUUGACGGA